UAGAGUUUGAUCCUGGCUCAGGACGAUCGCUGGCGGCGUGCCUAACACAUGCAAGUCGAACGGAAACAUCCCGUCGAUGCGAUUUCGGUUAAGUCAAGGGAUGUUUUAGUGGCGGACGGGUGAGUAACGCGUGGGCAACCUGCCUUACACCGGGGGAUAACACUUAAAAAUAGGUGCUAAUACCGCAUAACAGGAGAACAUGCAUGUGUUUUCCUUGAAAACCACGGUGGUGUAAGAUGGACCCGCGUCUGAUUAUCUUGUUGGCAGGGUAACGGCCUACCAAGGCGACGACCAGUAGCCGGCCUGAGAGGGUGGACGGCCACAUUGGGACUGAGACACGGCCCACACUCCUACGGGAGGCAGCAGUGGGGAAUAUUGCACAAUGGGGGAAACCCUGAUGCAGCGACGCCGCGUGAGUGAAAAAAUAUUUCUGUAUGUAAAGCUCUGUCCUCAGGGAAGAAAAAGAAGGUACCUGACCAAGAAACCCCGGCUAACUACCUGCCAGCAGCCGCGGUAAUACGUAAGGGGGGAGCGUUUUCCCGAAUUUCUGGGUGUAAAGGGAGCGCAAACAGCCAUGCAAGUCCCGAGUGAAAGCCCGGGGCCCCACCCCGGGACUGCUCUGGAAACUGUACGGCUGGAGUGGCCGAAAGGGAAACCGAAAUUCUAAUGUAACGGUGAAAUGCGUACAUAUUAAGAA
RNAcentral lists this ribosomal RNA (697 nucleotides) under uncultured bacterium. RNAcentral's name for it is "bacterial SSU rRNA". It matches the Rfam family "Bacterial small subunit ribosomal RNA", at positions 1 to 703 of the family's 1533-position model. The record is from RNAcentral.